AUUGAACGCUGGCGGCAGGCCUAACACAUGCAAGUCGAGCGGAUGAAGGGAGCUUGCUCCUGGAUUCAGCGGCGGACGGGUGAGUAAUGCCUAGGAAUCUGCCUGGUAGUGGGGGAUAACGUCCGGAAACGGGCGCUAAUACCGCAUACGUCCUGAGGGAGAAAGUGGGGGAUCUUCGGACCUCACGCUAUCAGAUGAGCCUAGGUCGGAUUAGCUAGUUGGUGGGGUAAAGGCCUACCAAGGCGACGAUCCGUAACUGGUCUGAGAGGAUGAUCAGUCACACUGGAACUGAGACACGGUCCAGACUCCUACGGGAGGCAGCAGUGGGGAAUAUUAGACAAUGGGCGAAAGCCUGAUCCAGCCAUGCCGCGUGUGUGAAAAAGGUCUUCGGAUUGUAAAGCACUUUAAGUUGGGAGGAAGGGCAGUAAGUUAAUACCUUGCUGUUUUGACGUUACCAACAGAAUAAGCACCGGCUAACUUCGUG
This 484-nucleotide ribosomal RNA is filed under the name uncultured bacterium. RNAcentral's name for it is "partial 16S ribosomal RNA". It matches the Rfam family "Bacterial small subunit ribosomal RNA", at positions 30 to 507 of the family's 1533-position model. The record is from RNAcentral.